CUUAGAGUUUGAUCCUGGCUCAGGAUGAACGCUGGCGGUAUGCUUAACACAUGCAAGUCGAACGGAGUACAUUGUACUUAAUGGCGGAAGGGUGAAUAACGCGUGAAAAUCUGCCUUCGAGAUGGGGAUAACAGUGGGAAACCAAUGGUAAUACCCCAUGAGCCCAGAGGUAAAAAAUUUAUUGCCUGAAGAAGAGCUCGCGUCCGAAUAAUUAGUUGGUGGGAUAAAGGCCUACCAAGGCGGAGAACGGUAACUGGUCUGAAAAGAAGAACGGUCACACUGGGACUGAAACACCGCCCAAAAUCCUACCGGAAGCAGCAGUGGGGAAUUUUCCGCAAUGGGCGCAAGCCUGACGGAACAAUAACGCGUGAGGGGGGAAGGGCUUUGGGUUGUAAACCUCUUUUCUUAAGGAAGAAGCUCUGACGGUACUUAAGGAAUCAGCAUCGGCUAACUCCGUGCCAGCAGCCGCGGUAAUACGGAGGAUGCAAGCGUUAUCCGGAAUUAUUGGGCGUAAAGCGUCCGUAGGCGGCUAUUAUAAGUCUGCUGUCAAAGACCGCAGCUCAACUGCGGAGAGGCAGUGGAGACUGUAGAGCUAGAGUCUGGUAGGGGUAGAGGGAAUUCCCAGUGUAGCGGUGAAAUGCGUAGAGAUUGGGAAGAACACCAGUGGCGAAAGCGCUCUGCUGGAGCAGAACUGACGCUGAGGGACGAAAGCUAGGGGAGCGAUAGGGAUUAGAUACCCCUGUAGUC
RNAcentral lists this ribosomal RNA (747 nucleotides) under uncultured cyanobacterium. Its description in RNAcentral is "bacterial SSU rRNA". It matches the Rfam family "Bacterial small subunit ribosomal RNA", at positions 1 to 795 of the family's 1533-position model. Lineage: Bacteria; Bacillati; Cyanobacteriota. The record is from RNAcentral.